AACCAUCCUUAAAUGGAAUUGCACAGCAGUGACUUUAGAGUUUUGAACAUCCAUCAAAGUCAUUACAUGUUCAACUGAGAAGCUCAGAACCUAAGAAUGAUUACUAUUUAGUAAUCAAAUACCCUUUGGCUAGUCAACCUAUGAUGUGGCUGGGAGAAGGAAGAGGAAGUUUCAAGAAAGCAGCCUCUUGAGAUGACUUCUUCUAAUGUACUGUAGUCUCCAUCUUGGUAAGCCAUGAUUUCAUCUUUAUCUUCCUGCCAUGAGAUGAUAACCUGAAGAAGUCUCUCUCCUCAAAAGGUCUGACACUCAUGAUCUCAACUGAAUUUUUCCAGAUGACCACUCUCAAGAGGAGGAAUCCAAUUCUUUGCUUGACUUGAUAAAAGACAUUGACCCUAAAUGAGUUGUUCUUAUAAUAUAAUUCUGCUGCAAAAGUGUCUGCUCACUUAAAAAUAAAUUCUUAUUUGUGAUUUCCAAA
This is a long non-coding RNA of Antechinus flavipes (yellow-footed antechinus), 475 nucleotides long. RefSeq lists it as uncharacterized. The transcript has 2 exons. The record is from RefSeq and is a predicted model, not a curated record. Lineage: Eukaryota; Metazoa; Chordata; Mammalia; Dasyuromorphia; Dasyuridae.